Molecule: long non-coding RNA, 1056 nt
Filed under: Nicotiana benthamiana
Lineage: Eukaryota; Viridiplantae; Streptophyta; Magnoliopsida; Solanales; Solanaceae
Description: long non-coding RNA (NBEN_LNC011683)
Source: RNAcentral
CGUGCAGCCAUAUUGAGUUUAUUUUUGCGAAUUCGGAAGCAUUGACGCGAAGGUAAUCUCUUCUUCUUUUCUUGUGCUUUUCUUCUUUUUAUCAUUUUUUUGCAGUUCAGGCGAGAUCCACGCACGAAAAAGGUGGUCUUAAGGUAUGAGGGGAGGGUACUUAUCCUUACAUAAUUACCGGAGAGAUUACUCUCAAAAUGGCCCGAUUCAUGGAAAGAUUACUCUCAAAAUGGCCCAAUUCUUGGAGAGAUUACUCUCAAAAUGGCCCGAUUCUUGGAGCGAUUACUCUCAAAAUGGUCCGGUUCUUGGAGAGAUUACUCUCAAAAUGGCCUAAUUCUUGGAGAGAUUACUCUCAAAAUGGCCCGAUUCUUGGAGAGAUUACUCUCAGCGUGGCCCGAUUACCGGAGAGACCAACUUAAGGUGCAAAGGGACUCAUAUGUCCACCUUAAUAUUGGAAAGUUAUAAAGCUUAAACUCGACAACGACAUCAAUUUGAACACUUGGAAAACUUUGAAGAUUUGGUGGACUUUGCAGACUUUAACUCGAAGUUUUGGAGGGCUUAAACAAUUCAACUUUAAAACCGACGAAUUUGAAGACUGAAACUUUAAGACCGACGAACUUAAAGACUUUGACUUUGAGACUUGGAGGGCCUAAAUAUUUCAACUUCAAGAUCACCAAAUUUGAAGACUUCAACUUGAAGACCUACGGACUUGAAGACUUCAACUUUGAGACUUGGAGGGCCUAAAUAUUUCAACUUGAAGAUCAACGGAUUUGAAGACUUCAACUUGAAGACCAACAGGAUUGAAGAUUUCAACUUGGGGACUUCAAAUUAAAUACACUUGAAGACUUCAACUUGGAGAUUUCGAGGGCUUAAAUGUUUCAGCCUCUAUUUUACUUUACAUUGUUCGACUUUUAUCUUAGUCGCAUAAUUUGCAGCUUUACGUGCUUGUAAUAAAUGAUUCAUAUCUUAUCGUGGGAGAAUUCAAAUAAUGAACCAUUUGAUAUUUUGGAAAUUAGACUUCAAUGUAUAAAAUAUAUCCAAAAUUCAGAAUCAAAC